RNAcentral lists this ribosomal RNA (678 nucleotides) under uncultured Glomeromycotina. RNAcentral's name for it is "eukaryotic LSU rRNA". It matches the Rfam family "Eukaryotic large subunit ribosomal RNA", at positions 91 to 616 of the family's 3401-position model. Lineage: Eukaryota; Fungi; Glomeromycota. The record is from RNAcentral.
GAGUGAAGAGGGACAAGCUCAAAUUUUAAAUCUAUCGGGUUUUACCUGAUCGAGUUGUAAUUUGAAGAGGCGUUUUCUGCGUAUUUGGUUAGCCCAAGUCCUAUUGAAUGAGGCAUCAUGGAGGGUGAUAAUCCCGUCCGGUUGAUCAUUUGCGUUUUACGAUACGCUUUCAAAGAGUCAAGUUGUUUGGGAUUGCAGCUUAGAAUGGGAGGUAAAUUUCUCCUAAGGCUAAAUAUUGGCGAGAGACCGAUAGCGAACAAGUACCGUGAGGGAAAGAUGAAAAGAACAUUGAAAAGAGAGUUAAACAGUACGUGAAAUUGUUGAAAGGGAAACGAUUGAAGCCAGUCGUACCGGCGGGUAAUCAGCCUUUCGGGUAUGAUUCUGUGGAGCGUGAGGAGUUAAACGCUUUCAUGCCUGCAUAUUCGUGCUCUUGGGUGUACUUGCUCGUGUGGUUGGUUAACAUCAAUUUCGGUUAUCAUAAAAUGGCUGGAGGAAUGUAGCUUCGAUCUCGUAUUGAAGUGUUAUAGCCUUCGGUAGAUGUGAUGAUCGAGAUUGAGGAUUGCAACGGAUACCCUACGGGGCUACCUGUCUGGUCUCUGAUCGUUGCUCUGGUGCCGAAAGCUUGCUUACGGUUAUCAAAGUCGAUGGUCAAUAGGUUAGAACGGGUUAAAUUCGUUA